UACGGGGGGUGCGAGCGUUGUCCGGAAUCACUGGGCGUAAAGGGCGCGUAGGUGGCUUGGUAAGCGUGUGGUGAAAGCCCGGGGCUCAACCCCGGGUCUGCCAUGCGAACUGCUAUGGCUUGAGCACUGUAGAGGCAGGUAGAAUUCCGGGUGUAGCGGUGGAAUGCGUAGAGAUCCGGAAGAAUACCGGUGGCGAAGACGGCCUGCUGGGCAGUGGCUGACACUGAGGCGCGACAGCGUGGGGAGCAAACAGG
Molecule: ribosomal RNA, 254 nt
Filed under: uncultured bacterium
Lineage: Bacteria
Description: partial 16S ribosomal RNA
Rfam family: Bacterial small subunit ribosomal RNA
Source: RNAcentral